Molecule: ribosomal RNA, 253 nt
Filed under: uncultured bacterium
Lineage: Bacteria
Description: partial 16S ribosomal RNA
Rfam family: Bacterial small subunit ribosomal RNA
Source: RNAcentral
UACGGGGGGGGCAAGCGUUGUUCGGAAUUACUGGGCGUAAAGGGCGCGUAGGCGGCCUUCUAAGUCGGACGUGAAAUCCCUCGGCUUAACCGAGGAACUGCGUCCGAGACUGAAAGGCUUGAAUCCGGGAGAGGGAUGUGGAAUUCCAGGUGUAGCGGUGAAAUGCGCAGAUAUCGGGAGGAACACCAAUUGCGAAGGCAGCUCGCUGGGACGUCACUGACGCUGAGACGCGAAAGCGUGGGGAGCAAACAGG